UACGUAGGUGGCAAGCGUUGUCCGGAUUUACUGGGCGUAAAGAGCGCGCAGGCGGUCGUUCAAGUCGCGUGUGAAAGCCCCCCGGCUCAACUGGGGAGGGUCACGCGAUACUGAUCGACUCGAAGGCAGGAGAGGGUAGUGGAAUUCCCGGUGUAGUGGUGAAAUGCGUAGAUAUCGGGAGGAACACCAGUGGCGAAGGCGACUACCUGGCCUGUUCUUGACGCUGAGGCGCGAAAGCUAGGGGAGCAACGGG
RNAcentral lists this ribosomal RNA (253 nucleotides) under uncultured bacterium. Its description in RNAcentral is "partial 16S ribosomal RNA". It matches the Rfam family "Bacterial small subunit ribosomal RNA", at positions 524 to 775 of the family's 1533-position model. The record is from RNAcentral.